RNAcentral lists this ribosomal RNA (537 nucleotides) under Bifidobacterium longum subsp. infantis. RNAcentral describes it as "bacterial SSU rRNA". It matches the Rfam family "Bacterial small subunit ribosomal RNA", at positions 160 to 711 of the family's 1533-position model. The record is from RNAcentral. Lineage: Bacteria; Bacillati; Actinomycetota; Actinomycetes; Bifidobacteriales; Bifidobacteriaceae. RNAcentral also lists the same sequence under 1 other name.
GUGGUAAUGCCGGAUGCUCCAGUUGAUCGCAUGGUCUUCUGGGAAAGCUUUCGCGGUAUGGGAUGGGGUCGCGUCCUAUCAGCUUGACGGCGGGGUAACGGCCCACCGUGGCUUCGACGGGUAGCCGGCCUGAGAGGGCGACCGGCCACAUUGGGACUGAGAUACGGCCCAGACUCCUACGGGAGGCAGCAGUGGGGAAUAUUGCACAAUGGGCGCAAGCCUGAUGCAGCGACGCCGCGUGAGGGAUGGAGGCCUUCGGGUUGUAAACCUCUUUUAUCGGGGAGCAAGCGAGAGUGAGUUUACCCGUUGAAUAAGCACCGGCUAACUACGUGCCAGCAGCCGCGGUAAUACGUAGGGUGCAAGCGUUAUCCGGAAUUAUUGGGCGUAAAGGGCUCGUAGGCGGUUCGUCGCGUCCGGUGUGAAAGUCCAUCGCUUAACGGUGGAUCCGCGCCGGGUACGGGCGGGCUUGAGUGCGGUAGGGGAGACUGGAAUUCCCGGUGUAACGGUGGAAUGUGUAGAUAUCGGAAAAGAACACCA